This 269-nucleotide ribosomal RNA is filed under the name uncultured prokaryote. RNAcentral's name for it is "partial 16S ribosomal RNA". It matches the Rfam family "Bacterial small subunit ribosomal RNA", at positions 524 to 792 of the family's 1533-position model. The record is from RNAcentral.
UACGGGGGGAGCAAGCGUUGUCCGGAAUUAUUGGGCGUAAAGGGCGUGUAGGCGGUUUGGUAAGUCGAAUGUGAAAUCUCACGGCUCAACCGUGAAACUGCGUUCGAAACUGCUUAACUUGAGUACGGGAGAGGUGUACGGAAUUCCUGGUGUAGCGGUGGAAUGCGUAGAUAUCAGGAAGAACACCGGUGGCGAAGGCGGUACACUGGCCCAGUACUGACGCUGAGGCGCGAAAGCGUGGGGAGCAAACAGGAUUAGAUACCCCCGUA